This 391-nucleotide long non-coding RNA is filed under the name Zea mays. RNAcentral describes it as "long non-coding RNA (ZMAY_LNC002897)". Lineage: Eukaryota; Viridiplantae; Streptophyta; Magnoliopsida; Poales; Poaceae. The record is from RNAcentral.
AUCAAUUACAUCACAAAAGUCUCAUCCAUAGUCAUAAUAAUACACAUAUCAUCAUCCAGUAGUAAUAAAAGACAAUAUCUCAUACAUAGUCAUAAUAAAAGUCUCAAGUAUUAGAACACAAUAACAUGGAAGCUCACGGUUGCCGAUCACCAUCGGGUUACAGUGAAGAGUGAUGGUCGAUACCUCCACUAUUGAAGAGGGUUUCGAAAAAGUCUAACCCGUCCUCUUGUUCAUGCGUCGGCAAGGUAGCUGGAGGGGUCUAAUAUACAUGUACAAAUGACAUUUGCUGAGUUACAUCAUAAUAUAACUAACAACAAGUAAAUGAUGAUGAAUAUGCAUACCUGAUGUUCGGUAGAUGGAGAUGUAGGUAUAGGUGGAGCUGAAGACCAAG